AAACUGUCAGGCCACAUUAAGCCACAGUACGGAAGAAGCUGUGCAGCCUGUGAGCCCCGUCCAAGGACGUUAAAAGAAGAAGUCAGGCCCAAAAGCCACGGUUUGAGCAAACCGUGCUGCCUGUAGCUCCGUCGUGGGGACGUAAAGCCUGGGAGGCUGCAAACCGUGGAAGCUGUACGCACGGUGUAGCAGACUAGUGGUUAGAGGAGACCCCUCCCAUGACACAACGCAGCAGCGGGGCCCGAGCACUGAGGGAAGCUGUACCUCCUUGCAAAGGACUAGAGGUUAGAGGAGACCCCCCGCAAACAAAAAC
RNAcentral lists this long non-coding RNA (313 nucleotides) under dengue virus type 3. RNAcentral's name for it is "Dengue virus 3 partial sfRNA1". The stretch from base 152 to 223 matches the Rfam family "Flavivirus DB element". Lineage: Riboviria; Orthornavirae; Kitrinoviricota; Flasuviricetes; Amarillovirales; Flaviviridae. The record is from RNAcentral.